RNAcentral lists this long non-coding RNA (1635 nucleotides) under Nicotiana tabacum (common tobacco). RNAcentral describes it as "long non-coding RNA (NTAB_LNC001311)". Lineage: Eukaryota; Viridiplantae; Streptophyta; Magnoliopsida; Solanales; Solanaceae. The record is from RNAcentral.
GUGAAACUGAGUAGCCACGUAUCAUUUGGCCACUGUUUCUCUGGUUCAUCUUCCUUCUUCGUGGUGCUCUCAUCUCUUUCUUCAUCAUAAUGCUCUGAGCUUAAUUAGCUAAUGCAUCUGUCUUCAACGUCUUUAUCUAGCAUCCCUCAAUGCUUUCCUCGAUUUCUCUAGCUAGAAGGAAUUCACCAGCACAUGGAUUUGAUGAUCCCAACGACUGUAGUUCCGAUAAAUGGUGAUCUUCUUUUUGUCUGCUUAUUAGUAAAUAAUCUUGGGGUUUCACUUUUUUAUAUUAUUGGUAAAUAUUUUGAAGUUUAUAGUGCUGGAGUUUUCUCAGCCGUUUUUAGGUAAGCUUCAUUGAAAAAUUUCAGCUCUAUUAAUCCAUGCAUAGAUCUGACCAAAAACUGGAAGAAAGUGAUAAAACAUGUGGAAGAGGAACAAAGUUGAGCACUCUUCUGCGGCUUUUGUUCAAGAUUGAUGUAGCAAUCAAAUUAGAACUUUUUUUGGUUGGAUUUAUUUUAUUUGGUAAAAUCACUGAAAUUUGUAGUUACUGCAUUGACAUCUCAACUAAUAUUAGGAAAUGUUAUUCAUCGACACACAUAGAGCAUUAGUAGCUGACUUUUAUAUACACUUUUGGAGAUAAUAAUUUUGGUUGCUUUAAAUUUGUUUUAAAUUUUUUUGAACCAAUAAACAUUUCAACUAAUUUUCUUGGUGCUUGUUCAAGCUUAGUUAUCAAUGAUUUGCCAUUUGAUAAAUCCGGUAGAUUCCUUUACCUCACAACACUGAACAUAAGAAGCUAGGCAUAAAGUUCACAUAUCUUUAUUUCUUCUUUAAAGUACUUUUCCCAUGUAUGGUAGAAUUAAUUGAAAACCUGCAUUCUGUCAACAGAUGACGCAUUGAUUUUCUUUCUUAUUUCGAAAUUGAUUAAUAUUCUUUUUUUCUUAAUGCUCUGUAGUUUAUCUCCUAGGUGUAAUUUCUCACCGAUGUUUAGGUUCCCAGAUCUUAGAUAAAAUGUAUGAGAACGAUAAACGUGUAUAAUAUUAUAACAUUUGCAGUUGUGAUGUCUACAAUCACAUGAGGUGUAUGAACAAAUCCUACUUGUAGAAAUAUACUGGAUAUUUUGUAAUUGUUCAAUCAUACUAAGCCUGAAUAAUCUUAACAUGAUCUAAUAUUGUUCGUUUUGAGUCAAUUUGCACUGAAUUUUCCUAAAGACACGUAACCACUUGGCAUUCCGAUUACUUCAUCCAUUAACUUUUUUUUAAAUUUCAAAAUAAAGGAGAAGCUUCCAGUUUAGAAGCUACCGCUUCCUGCCUCCCUUGCGAUGAGUUCAGUGGACCGCUGUUUGGCUGACCCUCUUCUUCUCAUUUGUGUUGGGUUGACCCAGAAGUACAACAAAAAGAAAUAGAACCACUGGAGAGUCGUCUGCAGUUCACACUUCAGCAAAGACGACUGACUUUGGAAGCGAAACACGAACCUAUUUCCGCUAUUUCGGGUUCUUAUUGAGCGUAACAAAAUCAAGAUUGAUUAUAAAGUCAACGAAGUUUCCAUAGUGUUCUACCACCUCACACCAUUUAAGAACAUGUGUACACUUUAUAUAUAAUUAAGUCACGCAUGGCCAUCAUGGGAUAUAUUCACUAG